Molecule: unclassified non-coding RNA, 371 nt
Filed under: uncultured Gammaproteobacteria bacterium
Lineage: Bacteria; Pseudomonadati; Pseudomonadota; Gammaproteobacteria
Description: contains 16S-23S intergenic spacer region
Source: RNAcentral
UCCGGCUUAUCACCGGCAGUCUCCUUAGAGUGCCUUAACGUAGCAACUAAGGACAAGGGUUGCGCUCGUUGCGGGACUUAACCCAACAUCUCACGACACGAGCUGACGACAGCCAUGCAGCACCUGUGUUACGGCUCUCUUUCAAGCACCCUAGCCUUUCAGCUAGGUUCCGUACAUGUCAAGGGUAGGUAAGGUUUUUCGCGUUGCAUCGAAUUAAUCCACAUCAUCCACCGCUUGUGCGGGUCCCCGUCAAUUCCUUUGAGUUUUAGUCUUGCGACCGUACUCCCCAGGCGGUCAACUUCACGCGUAAGCUACGUUACUAAGGAAAAUUCCCCUAACAACCAGUUGACAUCGUUUAGGGCGUGGACUAC